UUGAAAUGGAGCUUUAGCAGAAGUUCAAGCUGGAAGACUCCGCCCCCUCCGUUCACCCAUCGACGUCAUGCUCAUCCCCGUCCUCAGCCUGGACCUCACCCUGCUAUCAGGCUCUGCAUAAAAGGAUCCACACCCAAACCGUCAGACGCUUCCCAGCUGCGUUCAAUCCGUUCAUCUGCACGAUCUCAGCCCCUCCACAGCUUCGUGAUUCCCCGCAGGACCUCGCAUCCUGCGUUGGUCCUUUCUUUUUCCCCUCAGACGCUCCCCGGAUGCAAGAGAUUUCUCCCGGCCCUAGCCUCGAUCAGUUCAAGCAGCUUCUCCCGCCUAUCUCUCACCUGCCUAGGAUUUCACUUACUCCACGAUCCACCUCCGAAAAACAUAAGCCCUCCGGUCACCUUGUUUACUUUGACCCCUUUGGCCCGUGAUGCACGACGCAUUACCUCCCGCACAGUCGUGAGACAAGGUAGCUAACUGCGGAGCUCUACGUGGAGGGAACAGCCUGUUUAAAGAUGCCGUAAAGAAAAACGACAGAAUCAAAAGGGAGGAUCUGAGGGAAGCAGCAAAGGCCAUCUUCCUUCGCCCGCCAAGCUUCUCUCACUUCCGCAUGCCGUCAUGGUCAGCACCUUUCCGGAUUUCCCCCUCUACGCCCGUCUCAGGCUGUCAGGAUGCUCCUCAGAUGCAAGCGAUUCCUCGAUGAUUUCAAGCGGCGUCUCCCGCCUUGAUGAUUUCAACGCCUUCACACCAGUGCCACGCUAAGGAUCAGCAUGCCUACGAUUUCCCUCUCCUGCAUGGUCGCUGUCAGCCCGCUCAGCAACACCUCUCUGGUUUUCCCUCACUACGCCUGUUUCAGGCUACCAGGGUAAGACGUAGCAUUCUCAUGUCUCAUUCGAGUCUCGCAAUACUUCGUAACGCAGACACUUUUCAUUAGUUUAUCCCCUCCCGAACACUUUGGCCGUAUAUACAUGCGCCACUCAGGUUCUAAUGUUCAAGGACUUUUAUCCGAACAUUGACUUAGCUAAAACAUCGUCACCUGUUUCUCCGAGGCGCCUUUAAACAUAACAUUGGUUCAGCAGGUGACCAGCUGUUGCGUAAGAGCUGCAAGGCGUACGUUAGAAUCCAGUCAGCUUUGGAGGGAUGUCUAUCGUAUAAAUAGCAGAUGCAUCUGCACUCAACUGCGAGCAGUGCAGCCCAUCGUUAACGGGUCGUUUGGUCACCGCAGUUAUCUAUCUGCUUCACAUUAGUUAUUCGUCGCUAGUCAGUGCAGUAUUCUUUGUCGUCGAGCUGUAUUAUAAUUUAUGCUACCCAGGCCCGGCAGCGCGGGCGGUCACUUCAGUUGUGUCCCGGCUGUUCUGCAAGCCCCGUGUUUUACCUACAUGGCCAACUCUUUUAUAUUCCUGCAUCGAUUUGGUACCGGAGUUUCCUCCAUCUCCCUUAUCGCGUCCUCUGCAGCCUUGUUCUGCAAUUAAAACAGUUUUAUGUGCUGUUAACAUAAUCUAUUUCAAACGCAACUUGAGCCCCGAGACGUUCACACCAGUCGCCAACGGCGUAGGAGCCGCUAGUAUUACGCCAAUACUUUGCGUAAUUUAACCGACCGAGUAGAGUAGUGCCGCUGGAUGCAGGUGAUGUUAGCUUAGUUAUGACUAAUUUCAAUACAACCCCUUAAGCUUGUUAACAAGAUGCCCGUGACCAUUGUCGUCGUGUGUGUUCAGCUACGUAGAUUCAUUCUGCCUGUUGAAGAUUUUAGGUUGUAAUUUUGGAAAAUCUCUGGCUCCAUCUUCUCACGGAUCCCAGGUUCUCCCGGCGGGCCGAGUUAAAUCACACAGGAAACGAGUGUAGACAUCUCAGAAUUAGAGUUUAAUCCAAAGAAACGCACAUGAAAUUACAACAGAACUGCAGAACAGAGACAUGCAUUAAUUUACCUGAGUCGAAUGGAAGAAGGAAGCAAAGACGUGCUUAGACGUCUUUGGAGAAUUACAAGAGCAAAUCCGAGUAGUUACUGCUGUGUACAAAGUCUUAUAGUAAAGGCGUACUCUAGACUUUUAUUUAUUCUAAUAAGGCGUAGCUUUGCUCAUCCAACCAGGAGUUGUCUCUGAUCCUCUUUAGAGUUAGACACUCCCUGCAAUUUGUUUUCAAGAUCAAGCUCAAACUGUCACCUUUAUCUAAACAAGUGGAAGCAGAGCUUCUCAUCUACUGGCCUGGACUCCUGCUGUUUCAAGGCUUUUCACAGAUCAGUGUGAAAGCUGGAACUUCUCCUGAUUUCCCACACAAAGGGCAGUUCAAAAGAUCUCGGCAAACAAUCUACUUUAUCUACAGGUAACAUAAAGGUUAACAGGACAGAAUAAGUUAUUAAUCUGAGAACUAUAAUUAGGCUUUCCAAUAAAGACAUGGCAAGUUUUUAAAACUAGCAUAUUUUAAAUUUACUCCUCAUCAUGACCUAAACAGUCAGUUCAAUCAGCUAAUCUCGUCUGGAGCAGGGGUUCGCGUCUCGGCUGGCCUUCUCAUACCGCGGCAUGAGGCAUAAAUUGUCAUUCACCUAAUUGUGGACUUUUACCCUGUUGCGACGCAAUACGUGUAGUAGAGUGGCUUGCCAACGUAACAUGAAGUCGACUAAUAAUUCCUCUUCAGUUCGGUUGAGUCUGUCCAGCGCUUCUGCUAAUUAUUAAUCGGCCUUAAAUUCUUGUUGACGAGGGCAUUGUCCAAUCAUUGUUUCUAAAAA
Poecilia latipinna (sailfin molly) is the source of this 2716-nucleotide long non-coding RNA. RefSeq lists it as uncharacterized. The transcript has 2 exons. Lineage: Eukaryota; Metazoa; Chordata; Actinopteri; Cyprinodontiformes; Poeciliidae. The record is from RefSeq and is a predicted model, not a curated record.